This is a long non-coding RNA of Crotalus tigris (Tiger rattlesnake), 2980 nucleotides long. RefSeq lists it as uncharacterized. The record is from RefSeq and is a predicted model, not a curated record. Lineage: Eukaryota; Metazoa; Chordata; Lepidosauria; Squamata; Viperidae. The transcript has 5 exons.
AAAGAUUGGACGCCAAAUGAUGAUUUGAAUUGGAAUGUUAUUUCUUUAUUAUUUUAUUCUAGAAUUUAAACAUUGGAUAUUCCUUGAGUGUUUGUAACUCACUCUGGACCUUGACUGUAAUAAACACGGACCGGGACUAGGACUGUGCAGGGCUUGGGGACAUCCAGCACCCAAAACACAGCCUCCGUUGCUUUCAGCUGGGGCAGACAGUUGCUGCCUUUUGCAAAUGAUGUGCAAAUUUCCCUGGCGCUGCAGAACAUAUCAACGCUCGCUUUAUAGUUUUAAAAGCAGAUUCUUCUUUCCAGAAGCCAAGGGAUCGUCUUAAAAUGCAAAAUAACGCCUUUAAACGGGCUGCUGUUGCUUAGAUUGCAAGGGUUCCAGGCUUCCCUAUCGUCCCACAAAUUAGGAUUUAUUUCUCAGGCCAUUUAAAGCUUCUUUGGGCAGAGAAGAAAAAUCCAGGAAAGAGGCUUUUCACUUCGGAAACUGGUGGUCCCUAUAAAUGGCACAGGCCUGUGCUUGGUCAUGCUGCUGUGAUGUUGCAUUCCUUCCUGCGCAGAAAGUAUUCAUGGCUGCCAUCUGAUAAAGCAAACCCACUUCAUCAUGGAUCACUUUGUUGUGACAGCGUGAAGCUGAUGGUCUCCAGAUCCUCUCGCAGACUUAUUUUAGCCAGCAACGUUUCCAGCAAAUGGUUAUAUCCGUCUCUUUUCUUUGCGGCCUCAUUAAAGGUGAAAUCUCCUCUGUGUAGGGUUCAUUUCUUAGGGCAGGGGUCCUCAGACUAUUCUGGGAGUUGAAGUCCACAAGUCGUAAAGUGGCCAUGUUUGAGCAUCCCUGUAUUAGGGCCUUGAGAGAAUCACCCAGGCUGUUUUUCUUGGCAACACUGCAGGAAGUCAUUAAAAAAAAAAAUCCUUUCUUCUAGGAUUUUAUUUUAUUUUAUUUUUUAAAUUGCCAUCGGACUUUAAGUCUUUCCAGUACAGGUAGUCCUCGGUUUAUGACUUCAACUGAGCACCAAUAUUACAGUUGCUGAGACAUUGGUUAAGUGGGUUUGGCCCCAUUUUACGACUUUUCUGGCCAUGCUUGUCAAAUGAAUCACUGCGGAUUGUUAAAUCAGCAACACAGUUGUUAAGGGAAUCCAGCUUCCCCAUUGGCUUUGCUUGUCAGAAAUUCGCAAAAGGGGAUCACUUGACCUUGAGACACAGCAGCGGUCAUAAAUAUGAACCAGUUUGCCAAGCCUCCGAGUAUAAAUCAGGCGGGGAAGCUGCAGCGGUCCCGAGUGUAAGAAACGGUCAUGUCAAUGUUUUCAGUGCAGUGGUAACUUCGAAGAGUGGCUAAGACCAAGACAAACAGGCUGAAAAAAUAGUUUUUCUCCCAGAGCUGUAACCAUAUUAAAUACAACUGUAUAGAGCAACACUGAAGUGCAAUAUUAGGGGCAGCGCAAUGGUUCGCCAUCAGCGGCCUGCAGACUUCACUCCACACUCCAGCGUCAAUGCUCACCAUCUGCAGCCAAGAACCCCUGAGGGAUGGAGAUUCGACAGGAAUGGAACAUUCAUUUUGCUUGGAAUGGAUUUAACUUGGUCAUUGUUGCAACCCGAGCUGAUCCUGGCUUGAGGGACCCCCCCCCCCUGAAGUGAUGCCUGCCAGUGGGCUUACCUAGAGAGGGUGGCAUUGCUUUGUCAGACUCCGAUGCUGCUAUUUUUUUCUAAUAGUCACCAAACUAUUCAAAGGCAAUGACUAAAAAAGAUAGAAGCAUUUCAUCGUAUGCUUAUGGACUACUCAAGGAAAGGAUUUCUGUUCUGGGGCCAAGACAAAGUGGCUUCACAAGUCAGCACCGGAGAAAAGUAAAUUUUGUACCAGGAACAACUGCCAUGUUCUACGUAAGCUGAGCAAACUACGGGACCGGGCAAAACAUACGGAGAGAUUUUCCUCCCAUGUGCCUUCCUAAAAAAUAAACAAGGGGCCCACUGCCAAUUCUUUCUCUGAGAAGAAGCCAAAGAUUCAAGCCUCUAAAACUGAGCAGACUUUCCCACCCAAGCCAGAGGCUGGGUUCACACGUUGCCCUGAGCUCCAGUUAGUUAACCAGGUUCACUGGCUCAACAACCAUUGCCUCGCUUUGCUUAGUGUAAGUAAACAGCAACAAAUCGCGCUGUAGCUUCUGUGCAGGGAGGGCAACCCACAGACUUAACUGAGCCCUGUGGCCGAUUUGAAGUAGUGUGUUGUCAAGUAGACUUUGUGAAUGAACCGGGGUUUGGUUUAGGUAGUGAAUACCACUGAAAAUCUGUGUUGUUUUUGCUUUUUGAUUGGAAGUGUGUCUCAGCGUGACAUAUCAGAGGAGCCAAGAGUUUUGGACUGUUUUAUUGAAUGGAGGAGGAGGAAGAGAAGAAGAAGGGACGAGGAGGAAGAGGAGGAGAAAGAGGAGAUGGAGGAGAAAGAAGAGGGAUGAGGCAAACUGGAGCCGAAGACAACUGCUGUGAAAUGUCUGGUCCAUGACACGGGAUCCGGCUUAUCUCAGCUUGCUGCCUCCGUCCUGCCCACCUGCCUCCACUUUCGGCAACCUGGAUGCUUUCCAGAGAGGUGCCUUGAUCUCCCAGAAUGCUCAGCGAUUCUCAGGCAUAUGUUUCCGUUCCGGCCUGCCGGCUCCAAAACCUUUCCCGCUGUAAAGCCUGGCAGGGUCGUCUCCGGGAUGUGGUCCAAAUACCCCAUCAAGAUAUGGUCAAGAUGGCAGCUACAUCGGUGUGAUGGAAGCUUCCUUCUCUCCUUCCUCCUCUUCCUCCUUCUUCUGCUUUGGGUGUUGAGGGAGAUGCAAAUUUCUGGUGCUUACUCUCCUGGCAGCCUCCAUCAUUGUUAACAGAUGCUGCUUUUGUAGUGUGUCUUUGAUGUUCUCUCUCCACCUUCUUCUGGAUCUGCCUCCUGUUCUUUGGCCUUCUCCUCUAUUUUUUUCAAUUCAAUUCAGAAUAGAGCUGGAAGAGACCUUGGAGGUCAUCUA